Molecule: long non-coding RNA, 1034 nt
Filed under: Mus musculus (house mouse)
Lineage: Eukaryota; Metazoa; Chordata; Mammalia; Rodentia; Muridae
Description: predicted gene 43154
Source: RNAcentral
GGAGGAGAGCUGGUGGGAGCACCACCUUGUGGCAGUCCAUAAGAGAGCCUAGAGUUCAGGUUUGGAACUAGCGGGCUUGAAGUAGCUCCCCAGGGGCCUCAGGUCUUAGCUUCAGCCACAAGCCCAGUUUUCUGCUGUUGGUAAGAGCAGCCCUACAUGUGGUCUGAGAGCUUGUGUGCUUUGCACAUCACUGACUGGAGGCUGGACCAGGUGUUCUCUGGGAAAAAAAAAGACCGAGCCGUGCCUUCAAGGAGCUGCUGCUUAGGGAGCCAAAGCUUGGCAGGGGCCAAGAGGAGACUGAUGGCAUCGUCUUAAGUUACCGGAUGACUUCACGUAUCCCGAGAGGCAGUUGCAAGGACAGUCAAUUCCCCCAGGUGGGCCCCAGACUUUUACUUAAUGUCCUCUAUUCUACCACACCAAAAAUCCUGGUUUCUGAUACCUAUAGACGCUCUCCUUUGAUUUCCCCAUGGACAUACAUAAAGCUCUCAGCUACUUCUCCACAACUGUGCCUGCCUUCCACUCUCCCUGCCAUGAUGAUAAUGGAACAAUCGUCUGCAAUUAUUCUCCUCUGAUUUUAAGAUUUCUUUCAACUUAUUGCUUUGGAGUCUGCAGUGCUUAAAAACGGUCUUCAAUUUCUUUGCCUUCCUGAAACUGCACCAUUUCUCUUUUAAAGUACAGGUUGUCAUGCAGAGGUCCUGAAGAAGAUAUGACAGCAAACGAGGAAGGAAGAAGGAAAUAGGAAUAGGAAAGAUGGAUGGGUUGACCGAGACGAAGCCAGAGACACAAAAAGGAAAUGAAUACCCCACGGUCACAAGAAACCAAAGAUGAGAUAUACGGUGACAUUAUCAGAAGGCAGAGAAUGGAAGACAAAAGACAACUUAAGCCAUUUUCUGGUCUGUUAAGUCACCCUGGCAGCACAAUGCGUUGGGAAAUGAUGUCUGCCUGUGAUCAUUGUUUACUUAGAAAGCUGGCUGACAUGAGCCGAAAUUAACACAAUAGGAUGGAAAAUUGCUAAUAAAACAAAAAUCCCUGCC